GAUGAACGCUAGCUACAGGCUUAACACAUGCAAGUCGAGGGGUAACGAGAGGAAAGCUUGCUUUCCUUGUCGACGACCGGCGCACGGGUGAGUAACGCGUAUCCAACCUGCCCCCAACUAGGGAAUAACCUUGCGAAAGUAAGACUAAUACCCUAUAAUUUCCUCAGAUGUCAUCUGACGAGGAAUAAAGAUUUAUCGGUUGGGGCUGGGGAUGCGUCUGAUUAGCUUGUUGGCGGGGUAACGGCCCACCAAGGCAACGAUCAGUAGUGGUUCUGAGAGGAAGGUCCCCCACAUUGGAAAUGAGACACGGCCCAAACGCCUACGGGAGGCAGCAGUGAGGAAUAUUGGUCAAUGGGCGGAAGCCUGAACCAGCCAAGUAGCGUGCAGGAUGACGGCCCUAUGGGUUGUAAACUGCUUUUAUACAGGAAUAAAGUUAGCCACGUGUGGUUAUUUGUAGGUACUGUAUGAAUAAGGACCGGCUAAUUCCGUGCCAGCAGCCGCAGUAA
Molecule: ribosomal RNA, 506 nt
Filed under: uncultured bacterium
Lineage: Bacteria
Description: partial 16S ribosomal RNA
Rfam family: Bacterial small subunit ribosomal RNA
Source: RNAcentral